Molecule: long non-coding RNA, 480 nt
Filed under: Panax ginseng (ginseng)
Lineage: Eukaryota; Viridiplantae; Streptophyta; Magnoliopsida; Apiales; Araliaceae
Description: long non-coding RNA (PGIN_LNC002030)
Source: RNAcentral
GACUGUAGAUCGGCAAUUAGGAGUGCAAAUUGGGGCUCCCUACUCCAAAUAGACUGUAGAUCGGCAAUUAGAAGUGCAAAUUGGGGCUUGUGCGUCCAAAUAUCCUUGGAUGUGAAAACGAUUUGGGGGGAAAAGGUAACAAAAAUUCCUUGUGCCUUCUUCUAAUAUGUAAUUGUUAAGUAUACUAACCAGUUAAUAUGUUGUUUGUGGUGAACGAUGGAGUUCCAAGUCACUGUAGUUGAAGAGGGGUUGGGGGUUAUUUUUGUGGAAGUAUUUCAACUUCAUACCUUGUCCUACAAAAGUAACAUGAGAUCCUGAUCAUGGAUGUUAGCAAGUCAAUGGUAAAUAUCACAAUCCUUCUUCUCCAUUGGUGGUAUGUGUUGAAAAUUGUCUACAGUGAGGGCAUAUAUACUUCUUAAGUUGUGUGCCAGAUACUCUGAAAGCAUUUAGCAUUCGAUUUGUCCAUCUAAAUGGCAUUCU